GAUGAACGCUGACAGAAUGCUUAACACAUGCAAGUCGAUGGGGAAGCGGCGCUUGCGCCGUGGCAACCAUGGCGGACGGGUGAGUAACGCGUAAAGAACUUGCCGGAUGGACCGGGAUAACAGCUGGAAACGGCUGGCAAGACCGGAUACUGUGGGCUGGCCGCAUGGCUGGCCCAUGAAAAGGGAUGCCGUCCGAGAGCUUUGCGUCCUAUUAGCUGGUUGGUAAGGUGACGGCUUACCAAGGCGAUGAUAGGUAGCCGGCCUGAGAGGGUGGACGGCCACAAGGGGACUGAGAUACGGCCCUUACUCCUACGGGAGGCAGCAGUGGGGAAUAUUGGACAAUGGGGGCAACCCUGAUCCAGCAAUUCUGUGUGCACGAAGAAGGUUUUCGGAUCG
RNAcentral lists this ribosomal RNA (396 nucleotides) under Leptotrichia sp. oral taxon 498. Its description in RNAcentral is "bacterial SSU rRNA". It matches the Rfam family "Bacterial small subunit ribosomal RNA", at positions 28 to 425 of the family's 1533-position model. The record is from RNAcentral. Lineage: Bacteria; Fusobacteriati; Fusobacteriota; Fusobacteriia; Fusobacteriales; Leptotrichiaceae.